UUGAUUCUUUUGUAUUAUUCAGACAACACACAGAUUACAGCAUAGAGGCGACGUCCGAAAAGGACGCCGAAGCACGGUGUUUGCGUCCACAGGUUCAAUAAUGAUCCCUCCGCAGGUUCACCUACGGAGA
RNAcentral lists this unclassified non-coding RNA (130 nucleotides) under uncultured fungus. RNAcentral's name for it is "sequence contains ITS1". The record is from RNAcentral. Lineage: Eukaryota; Fungi.